This 429-nucleotide ribosomal RNA is filed under the name Chloroflexota bacterium. RNAcentral describes it as "Chloroflexi bacterium partial 16S ribosomal RNA". It matches the Rfam family "Bacterial small subunit ribosomal RNA", at positions 355 to 776 of the family's 1533-position model. Lineage: Bacteria; Bacillati; Chloroflexota. The record is from RNAcentral.
UGGGGAAUAUUGCACAAUGGGCGCAAGCCUGAUGCAGCCAUGCCGCGUGUGUGAAGAAGGCCUUCGGGUUGUAAAGCACUUUCAGCGGGGAGGAAGGCGGUGAGGUUAAUAACCUUGUCGAUUGACGUUACCCGCAGAAGAAGCACCGGCUAACUCCGUGCCAGCAGCCGCGGUAAUACGGAGGGUGCAAGCGUUAAUCGGAAUUACUGGGCGUAAAGCGCACGCAGGCGGUCUGUCAAGUCGGAUGUGAAAUCCCCGGGCUCAACCUGGGAACUGCAUUCGAAACUGGCAGGCUAGAGUCUUGUAGAGGGGGGUAGAAUUCCAGGUGUAGCGGUGAAAUGCGUAGAGAUCUGGAGGAAUACCGGUGGCGAAGGCGGCCCCCUGGACAAAGACUGACGCUCAGGUGCGAAAGCGUGGGGAGCAAACAGG